This 154-nucleotide unclassified non-coding RNA is filed under the name uncultured Chaetothyriales. RNAcentral describes it as "sequence contains ITS2". The record is from RNAcentral. Lineage: Eukaryota; Fungi; Ascomycota; Eurotiomycetes; Chaetothyriales.
UCAACCCUCAAGCUUGGCUUGCUGUUGGACCAUUCGUCGGGAUAUGACGGGUCCUAAAGAUAAUGACAGAGUCGUGUUGGACCCUCAAUGCAACGAGCUUUUAUAGCACGCAUGGAAGUGGUCGGCCACUCUUGUCCCAACCCUAAUUUUACAA